UAGAGUUUGAUCCUGGCUCACGAUGAACGCUGGCGGCGUGCUUAACACAUGCAAGUCGGACGAUGAAGCCCUUCGGGGUGGAUUAGUGGCGAACGGGUGAGUAACACGUGAGCAACCUGCCCUUGACNNNNNGAUAAGCCUGGGAAGCUGGGUCUAAUACCGGAUAGUACCUUCUGCCGCAUGGUGGGGGGUGGAAAGCCUUGUGCGGUCUUGGAUGGGCUCGCGGCCUAUCAGCUUGUUGGUGGGGUGAUGGCCUACCAAGGCGACGAUGGGUAGCCGGCCUGAGAGGGUGACCGGCCACACUGGGACUGAGACACGGCCCAGACUCCUACGGGAGGCAUCAGUGGGGAAUAUUGCACAAUGGGCGCAAGCCUGAUGCAGCGACGCCGCGUGGGGGAUGACGGCCUUCGGGUU
This 414-nucleotide ribosomal RNA is filed under the name bacterium enrichment culture clone SC-1_53. RNAcentral describes it as "bacterial SSU rRNA". It matches the Rfam family "Bacterial small subunit ribosomal RNA", at positions 1 to 424 of the family's 1533-position model. The record is from RNAcentral.